AGGUGCAAUUAUACUGAUACUAAUAUACUAGAUCACAUCAUAACUCUACAGUUAAGCCUCAUUUACGAUAGUAAUAUUAAGAUGGGUAACCUAAGAAGUCUUCGUAUUACACCUC
Lupinus albus (white lupine) is the source of this 115-nucleotide non-coding RNA. Lineage: Eukaryota; Viridiplantae; Streptophyta; Magnoliopsida; Fabales; Fabaceae. The record is from the annotation of a GenBank genome assembly.